AGAUCUCAUGAUGGAUUUUACAUGCUGCAUAUGGGAGAAACAAAUCCGAUAGAAUACAGUCUGAGAACUUUUGGUUGGAAAAAAGAAGUGCCAAAGGGAUGAGACCACGCCUGAAGCUCAAAACUGAACCAGACUUAGGGGUGCAGAGAUUCAGAAGAGGAAGCAGUGUGGUUGGGGCACAGGGCAUGCCGUGCAGCCUGCCCUGGGCUCCUUGGUUCUUGGCAUGCUCGGCUGUGAAGUAAAGAGAUUGGGUAGUUAGCAUGAUGAUCUCUAAAGAGCACUGAGUUCAGCGAUUCCACAGUUCUAAUAAAAUCGAAAGCUAUUA
This is a long non-coding RNA of Gorilla gorilla gorilla (western lowland gorilla), 325 nucleotides long. RefSeq lists it as uncharacterized. The transcript has 2 exons. The record is from RefSeq and is a predicted model, not a curated record. NCBI's taxonomy places the organism in Eukaryota, Metazoa, Chordata, Mammalia, Primates, Hominidae.